GACGAACGCUGGCGGCGUGCUUAACACAUGCAAGUCGAACGCUGAAGCUCAGCUUUUGUUGGGUGGAUGAGUGGCGAACGGGUGAGUAACACGUGAGUAACCUGCCCCCUUCUUUGGGAUAACGCCCGGAAACGGGUGCUAAUACUGGAUAUUCACUGGUCUUCGCAUGGGGGCUGGUGGAAAGGGUUUUUCUGGUGGGGGUUGGGCUCGCGGCCUAUCAGCUUGUUGGUGGGGUGAUGGCCUACCAAGGCUUUGACGGGUAGCCGGCCUGAGAGGGUGACCGGUCACAUUGGGACUGAGAUGCGGCCCAGACUCGUACGGGAGGCGGAAGUGGGGAAUAAUGCACAAUGGGCGCAAGCCUGAUGCAGCGACGCCGCGUGAGGGAUGGAGGCCUUCGGGUUGUGAACCUCUUUCGCUCAUGGUCAAGCCGCAACAAUGGUUGUGGUGAGGGUAGUGGGUAAAGAAGCGCCGGCUAACUACGUG
Molecule: ribosomal RNA, 483 nt
Filed under: uncultured bacterium
Lineage: Bacteria
Description: partial 16S ribosomal RNA
Rfam family: Bacterial small subunit ribosomal RNA
Source: RNAcentral